UACUAAAUCUAGUGGUUAGAGCGUCCGCCUCGGAUGCGGGAGGUCGUGGGUUCGAUCCCCGGUCGAGUCAU
Molecule: non-coding RNA, 71 nt
Organism: Potamilus streckersoni
Lineage: Eukaryota; Metazoa; Mollusca; Bivalvia; Unionida; Unionidae
Source: the annotation of a GenBank genome assembly